CUCGGACAGCGCCCGAUUCUACCCGGGACAGAUGCAGCCUUCCGGCUGUUCCAAAUAAAUGACUAUUGUCUCCCACGAACACCGCCCGAAUGUACCCGGAUAGGCGCGGCCGGUAAGGCUAUUCCAAA
Molecule: long non-coding RNA, 128 nt
Organism: Haliotis rubra (blacklip abalone)
Lineage: Eukaryota; Metazoa; Mollusca; Gastropoda; Lepetellida; Haliotidae
Exons: 2
Source: RefSeq, a predicted model, not a curated record